ACGGGAGGCAGCAGUGGGGAAUUUUGGACAAUGGGCGCAAGCCUGAUCCAGCCAUGCCGCGUGAGUGAAGAAGGCCUUCGGGUUGUAAAGCUCUUUCGGCGGGGAAGAAAUCGCACAGGUUAAUACCCUGGGUGGAUGACGGUACCCGAAUAAGAAGCACCGGCUAACUACGUGCCAGCAGCCGCGGUAAUACGUAGGGUGCGAGCGUUAAUCGGAAUUACUGGGCGUAAAGCGUGCGCAGGCGGUUUUGUAAGUCAGAUGUGAAAUCCCCGGGCUCAACCUGGGAACUGCAUUUGAGACUGCAAGGCUAGAGUGUGGCAGAGGGGGGUAGAAUUCCACGUGUAGCAGUGAAAUGCGUAGAGAUGUGGAGGAAUACCGAUGGCGAAGGCAGCCCCCUGGGCCAAUACUGACGCUCAUGCACGAAAGCGUGGGGAGCAAACAGGAUUAGAUACCCUGGUAGU
This 461-nucleotide ribosomal RNA is filed under the name uncultured bacterium. RNAcentral's name for it is "bacterial SSU rRNA". It matches the Rfam family "Bacterial small subunit ribosomal RNA", at positions 341 to 794 of the family's 1533-position model. The record is from RNAcentral.